GUGAUGCGUGCUGCAAGAGACAUCGCAGCUGCUCCGAUAACUUUUCUCCCCAGACUGCCUUACAGCAGGCCUCUGGGCUGGAGGGUGGGCUCAGUAUUGCCCGAAACCAUCCCUCGCCUCUCCUGCGCGGUGUAUCCUGCCGGGGACAGCGAUUCCCACUCUCCGUUAUUGACAGGUACAAACUUCUUCAGACCAAACUUUUGAAAGAGAUCUGAGGACAGGACUUUGAAACUUGGGCAGUCGGAAUCCCUUCGAGCUCUGUAUUUCCACCUGAUGGCCCUCAAAGCAUUCUAAACACUGCAAAAGGAACGAGAGGAUGGAGCAUCGAUGUUUUUUUCGUCGCAGAAAUUCUUUCUUGGGGUCACAAGCAGACCUAGCUGCCUGCAAAUCCCAGUAAAACAGAGUUUCUGCUUCCUGGUAUCUCACCAUCAUUUGGAUAACGUAAAUUGAGUGCAACAGUCCAAAUGAGAAGCACAGCUACCUUGAAGCUCGCAGCCUUGAAGGAUGCUAGCAGAGCCGAAAGACAUCCGGGGCUCUAUGCAGACACUCUCAUGUGCGUGCCCACUUCCACAUCAGAUGCAAUACUCGCAGUGCGACACAUCUGAAAUGGAGUGCAGAGGAAAGUGAGACCUGUUGGAGCAGCACCCAGAGGCCAAGUGUCUCUGUUCCCUGAAUUCACUGCAACAUAAACGAGUAUUGGACCUCUCCUAGUUGGUGAAGACAGGAAGAUGCUUUUGAAAGCAUCCACAGAGACAUCCUUAGACUCCUAAACUUAAGGAAAUAGCAUUUUCUUCUAAGACUGUGAAAGCUUUGUCUUCCUUGAAAAGGCAAAUGCUUCCUUGAAAAAAGAGUUGUUUUACCAGCAGUUUACUUACAAGUUGUGUGUCUCGGUAUCACAGAGAGGAUCCCACCCAAACUAGAAACAUUUCUUUCAACAAGACUACUGUGAUCUUUUUUAUAAUGAAAAGAAAAAGAAAGUAAAAAAUAUUCAAAUGGCCAUCUGGGAUUUCUUGGAAGAAGUCAUUUUUCCUGUUUAGAGUGGAAGCUUUAAAAUACAUGGAAAAAAUUGCCAAGGCUGUGCCUAACUUACAGUUGUUUUUAGUUUUUUUUGUUUGGUUGGUUGUUGUUGGUUUUGGGGUUGGUUUUUUUUGCAUGUAUGUUAGGAUUUAAAAGAUCUCUGACACAUAUGAGUGGAAGAGAAACAAACCACUCAAUUUGUAAAUUUUCUAUCAAAAGUACUCAAUGACUGUUUUCAAGUUAAUUACUUUGCAGUGAUGGCUGUGCUUAGGUCAUCAGACUGUUUUCUACGCUCCUGAAUUAUGGCCCGGUCUUGCAAAAUAUAUUCUGCUAAACACUCCAUUGAAGCUACAGGAUUUAUUUACAUAAAUUAAUCCCCAUCUCUUUUCGUGUUUAAUAAAAUCUAAGUGUACUAUAGUGCUGUAGAA
Long non-coding RNA from Chroicocephalus ridibundus (black-headed gull), 1445 nucleotides. RefSeq lists it as uncharacterized. The record is from RefSeq and is a predicted model, not a curated record. NCBI's taxonomy places the organism in Eukaryota, Metazoa, Chordata, Aves, Charadriiformes, Laridae. The transcript is spliced from 3 exons.